UAGUGAUACCUUUUAAGCAUGAAGAUAUAGAAAACAUCAUGUAGGCUAGCAAAUUCUUGGGGCAAUGCGGUACACCACAGGACCUAUACGUUCCAAAAUCUCAAAAGACCCAACAAAUCAUGGACUCAACUUUUCACUCUUUCUAAACUGCAUUUUUUAUAUGGAAAGACCUUGACGAAAACGUGGUCACUAAUAGCAAAUUUCAAAACUCUCCUUCUAUUUUUAGCAUAAUUCUUCUACUAACUCUAGGCAGUAUCGAGGUUUUUACGGAUGAUGUCAACCUUGUCAAUAGUUCCCUUGACGUAAUCUAUUCAAGAGAGAUACGUGUUCCCAAUUUUAUUACAACAUGUUGGGGAUCGAUAAGGCCUAUCAUAGAGAACUUAAAAUGAAGCCAUACAAAGACUGAAGUUAUAAAUUUUGUUGUAAGCACUCGGUAAGGGGGAGAUGUUGAUCCCAACUGCCACCAAAGUCCAGUACAUAAGCACCAGCAUGCCUUUUAGUGUUUGAUUGGUUCGUUUAGACUAUCCAUCAGUUUAUGGAUCGUAAGAAGUAUUGAAGUACAAACUGGG
Molecule: long non-coding RNA, 569 nt
Filed under: Carica papaya (papaya)
Lineage: Eukaryota; Viridiplantae; Streptophyta; Magnoliopsida; Brassicales; Caricaceae
Description: long non-coding RNA (CPAP_LNC007018)
Source: RNAcentral